Molecule: long non-coding RNA, 2180 nt
Organism: Syngnathus acus (greater pipefish)
Lineage: Eukaryota; Metazoa; Chordata; Actinopteri; Syngnathiformes; Syngnathidae
Exons: 3
Source: RefSeq, a predicted model, not a curated record
GAGGCGGCCUCUUCUUCCGCCGCCGGGUGAGGAGAAUAUAGGUGGCCGCUUCCACAUUCACUUUUACUGCAGAGCACGCUCGUUAACACCCUUUUGGUCAUCCAACCACCUUCUAUUUAACGCGAUAUAAUAAUAUACAGCUGAGCUGUUCGAUGUUUUGCAUCUUUGAUUGAACCGAAGCACCCGUAUGACAUUAGAAGGAUCUCACGGGACACCAUCAUCUCAAUUAACGAUGGGGGGAAGUGAGUGACAGGUGAUCAGUACAGCGUGUUCGCCCACGGGCCUCAUGUCACAGUCAGCAGUUUCCCAUCUCUUCCCCAGUGGCCCGGGCCACCCCCCACCCACGAACAUAUAAUGGGAUGGAUUCAACAUUUCCUGUUCUGAGAGUUGCAUUCGCAUUUUCUUCUGAGGAAGCGCAUUUUUGUGUUUAUGUAUAACUUCAUAAAGUAGGCUGGUGUUCUUUCUUUUCUCGCAGGGAUCAUGAUGAUCUUCGCACGUGUUUAAUAAGUUGAAAAAAAUGGGCACUGAAAAGAAUAUUUUGUGUGGUCGAAUAUGGACAGUUAUAUAUGUUUUUUAUUUAGUUUUUAUGCAAUCAGGAUGAUUCUUUUGGGGAGGGGGUUUCAAACAAGACUGAUAUUUCCCUAAUAUUAGUUCAUAAAAUGUUUUAAUUAAAAUAAUAAUUAAAAUGUUUCCAUGAAACGAUCAAUUUUGUUUACAUAUUUAGUUGCAAGUUUUGACGUUUUGUCUGCAACUUCAGAGUUUGGGUUUACUGUCCAAUCAAGUCUGGUCAUUCUCAGUACGUUGUUUGAAGCCUUUUCAUUGGUCAGUUUGGGAUGAUGGCGUCACAAUUUCCGCCUUCACGGCAGUACAAGAAAAGGUACCAGCGAAACGUGGCUACCUGUCUCACGCCAACUCUCCCUGAUUUAAUUGCGUGAUGGAAAAGUAUCUGGGUGGACAACAGGCCAAGGUAGGCAGUGAUUUACUUGAAAUGAUGUGAAUUUGUUGAAAAUCAAUAUUUCCUGUUCAAAUACAUGCGGGAUGGGAAGUGCAGCUACCGGCAGCAAGCCUUCCCAAAACGUCUUGUGCAGUCAUUCAUUAGAAGCAGAAUUACAGUAGCUUAGUACAACACCACCUUCUAUUGGUAAAACGACUGUACUGCAAUAGAAUAUUGGCAAGUGUCUGUUUUGGUCUUUCAUUUUUGUGUGCGUAAAACCAGCCAAAAAAAUUUGAAGGACAGCCUAACAGAAUUCUGCCUCCAUACUACGACAGGCAGCCUCCUUUUAAUGUGGUUGUGGCAGCCACACCGAAAGAGGCGUAUGGGAGCACAAAGUCUCACGUUGCUGCUAUUCUUUCUUCUACGCUCUACGCUUGAUUUUGUCAGACCAAACUCUGAACUCAUCAGACUGUAUGGCUGACUAACGGAUGAAUAUAAUGCUUCCAGGGAGAUUUAAAUCCGAAAAGGAUUCGAUCAAACGUUUUUCCAGCUUGCCAAUAAUGUGUGCCAAUUUGUGUUGUCUAUGAAAAAAAAAAAAAAACAUUUUCCCCAUUAAAAAGACUAAAAAAAAAAAAGAGUCAAAACCUACAAGUGGUGUAGGACUGAUGAAAAAACUAUUGAGACUUGAAGCUAAAAAUAUGACUUGCAGGAAAGUAACUGACCUCAUCUACAAGUAAAGAACUCCUCAGCAAGCCGCUUCCCCGCUGCUAAGAAUUCUGGGAACCAGGACACGAAUGGCAAAUACUGCUGUGAGGCAUGAAAACAUCCAAAUGGUUGAGUGCAUUCUCUUUAAGUCACUUGUCUCUCUUUCAUGAGCUUGUUUUUCUUUUCUUUUUUCCUGCUCCAAAUAAUUUCCACAUGAUGUGGCGAGGGCGCGGUAUUUAUUGCCUACUGUUAAAUGCCUGCAAAUGAUUUCUUCUCAAAUGCCUGCAAAUAAUUUUUUUUCCCCUUGAAGUGAAUGCAACGGGGCUGUUGACGAGGGCCACGUCUGUGCGAAUAGUGCAUUCGCACAGACGUGGCCCACGUGCGUGUCUUUCCAGGUCAAGCACCGGAGAAAGGUCAUAUUAUGUGACUGGGAGCACACUAAGGCACGACGUUGCCCCGCCUCCUCUCUCAACGAACAAAAUGUGGCCUGUUUGCCAUCUGUAUUUGGAGAAGCUGAUAAGACUUCUGUGUUUAGUCCAAA